CGCCGCGGUUAUACGGGAGACCCAAGGUGACAGUCACCGGCGUAAAGCGUGGUUAGAACAUUUUUAUUUAAACUAAAGCCGAAAACCUUCACAGCAGUCGCACGCUUACGAAAGUAAGAAGCCCAAUCACGAAAGUAGCUUUACAAUAUUUUGACCCCACGAAAACUGGGAAA
RNAcentral lists this ribosomal RNA (173 nucleotides) under Scolopsis lineata (striped monocle bream). Its description in RNAcentral is "partial 12S rRNA". The record is from RNAcentral. Lineage: Eukaryota; Metazoa; Chordata; Actinopteri; Spariformes; Nemipteridae.